This 498-nucleotide ribosomal RNA is filed under the name uncultured bacterium. Its description in RNAcentral is "partial 16S ribosomal RNA". It matches the Rfam family "Bacterial small subunit ribosomal RNA", at positions 27 to 507 of the family's 1533-position model. The record is from RNAcentral.
GGAUGAACGCUGGCGGCGUGCCUAAUACAUGCAAGUCGAGCGAACGGACGAGAAGCUUGCUUUUCUGAUGUUAGCGGCGGACGGGUGAGUAACACGUGGAUAACCUACCUAUAAGACUGGGAUAACUUCGGGAAACCGGAGCUAAUACCGGAUAAUAUUUUGAACCGCAUGGUUCAAAAGUGAAAGACGGUCUUGCUGUCACUUAUAGAUGGAUCCGCGCUGCAUUAGCUAGUUGGUAAGGUAACGUCUUACCAAGGCAACGAUGCAUAGCCGACCUGAGAGGGUGAUCGGCCACACUGGAACUGAGACACGGUCCAGACUCCUACGGGAGGCAGCAGUAGGGAAUCUUCCGCAAUGGGCGAAAGCCUGACGGAGCAACGCCGCGUGAGUGAUGAAGGUCUUCGGAUCGUAAAACUCUGUUAUUAGGGAAGAACAUAUGUGUAAGUAACUGUGCACAUCUUGACGGUACCUAAUCAGAAAGCCACGGCUAACUACGUG